AUGAGUAAGAAGUCAAGCAAAGGGGGCAGGAGACCUGCGAGGAUGAGCAAGGAGUUCCUGGCAAAACUCAAACAGAAGAAGGAAGUAUACAGAAGGUGGAAAGGGGGACAGGCCACUUGGGAGGAAUAUAGGAACGUUGUCAGAGUAUGCAGGGAUGCGACGAGGAAGGCUAAGGCCCGUUUGGAAUUAAAUCUGGCAAGGGAUGUGAAGGACAACAAGAAGGGCUUCUUCAAAUACAUCAGUAGCAAGAGGAAGACUAGGGAAAAUGUGGGCCCUUUGCUGAAUGGGGUGGGUGCCCUGGUGACGAAGGAUGCAGAGAAGGCAGAGUUACUGAAUGCCUUCUUUGCUUCAGUCUUUACUGCUCAGGCCAGCCCUCAGGAACCCCAGACCCUGGAGGCAAGAGAGAAAGUCUGGAGAAAGGAAGACUUUCCCUUGGUGGAGGAGGAUCGGGUUAGAGAUCAUUUAGGCAAACUUGAUACCCACAGAUCCAUGGGCCCUGAUGGGAUGCACCCACAAGUGCUGAAGGAGCUGGCAGAUGUUAUUGCUAGGCCACUCUCCAUCAUCUUUGAAAGGUCAUGGAGGAAAGGAGAGUUGCUUGAGGACUGGAAGAAAGCCAAUGUCACCCCAGUCUUCAAAAAGGGCAAGAAGGAGGACCCAGGAAACUAUAGGCCAGGCAGCCUCACCUCCAUCCCUGGAAAGGUGAUGGAGCAGCUCAUCCUGGAGGCCAUCUCCAAGCAUGUGGAGGACAAGCAGGUGAUCAGGAGUAGUCAGCAUGGCUUCCCCAAGGGGAAAUCAUGCUUAACCAAUCUGAUAGCCUUCUAUGAUGGGGUGACUGGCUGGGUAGAUGAGGGGAGAGCAGUGGAUGUUGUCUACCUUGACUUCAGCAAGGCUUCCGAUGCUGUCUCCCAUAACAUCCUCAUAGGGAAGCUCAGAAAGUGUGGGUUAGAUGAGUGGACAGUGAGGUGGACUGAGAACUGGCUGAAUGGCAGAGCUCAGAGGGUUGUGAUCAGUGGCGCAGAGUCUAGUUGGAGGCCUGUAGCUAGCAGUGUCCCCCAGGGGUCAGUACUGGGUCCAGUCUUGUUCAACUUAUUCAUCAAUGACCUGGAUGAAGGGACAGAGCGACCCUCAGCAAGUCUGCUGAUGAUACCAAACUGGGAGGAGUGGCUGAUGCACCACAGGGCUGUGCUGCCAUUCAGAGGGACCUGGACAGGCUGGAGAGCUGGGUGGAGAGGAACCUCAUGA
RNAcentral lists this long non-coding RNA (1242 nucleotides) under Apteryx haastii (Great spotted kiwi). RNAcentral's name for it is "lncRNA (ENSAHAG00000016578.1)". Lineage: Eukaryota; Metazoa; Chordata; Aves; Apterygiformes; Apterygidae. The record is from RNAcentral.